Molecule: ribosomal RNA, 555 nt
Filed under: Alternaria sp. YLN1
Lineage: Eukaryota; Fungi; Ascomycota; Dothideomycetes; Pleosporales; Pleosporaceae
Description: eukaryotic LSU rRNA
Rfam family: 5.8S ribosomal RNA (bases 222-375)
Source: RNAcentral
UUGGAAGUAAAAAUCGUAACAAGGUCUCCGUAGGUGAACCUGCGGAGGGAUCAUUACACAAAUAUGAAGGCGGGCUGGAACCUCUCGGGGUUACAGCCUUGCUGAAUUAUUCACCCUUGUCUUUUGCGUACUUCUUGUUUCCUUGGUGGGUUCGCCCACCACUAGGACAAACAUAAACCUUUUGUAAUUGCAAUCAGCGUCAGUAACAAAUUAAUAAUUACAACUUUCAACAACGGAUCUCUUGGUUCUGGCAUCGAUGAAGAACGCAGCGAAAUGCGAUAAGUAGUGUGAAUUGCAGAAUUCAGUGAAUCAUCGAAUCUUUGAACGCACAUUGCGCCCUUUGGUAUUCCAAAGGGCAUGCCUGUUCGAGCGUCAUUUGUACCCUCAAGCUUUGCUUGGUGUUGGGCGUCUUGUCUCUAGCUUUGCUGGAGACUCGCCUUAAAGUAAUUGGCAGCCGGCCUACUGGUUUCGGAGCGCAGCACAAGUCGCACUCUCUAUCAGCAAAGGUCUAGCAUCCAUUAAGCCUUUUUUUCAACUUUGACCUCGAUCAGUAGG